RNAcentral lists this ribosomal RNA (2913 nucleotides) under Salmonella enterica subsp. enterica serovar Adjame. Its description in RNAcentral is "23S ribosomal RNA". It matches the Rfam family "Bacterial large subunit ribosomal RNA". The record is from RNAcentral. Lineage: Bacteria; Pseudomonadati; Pseudomonadota; Gammaproteobacteria; Enterobacterales; Enterobacteriaceae.
GGGUUGUGAGGUUAAGCGACUAAGCGUACACGGUGGAUGCCCUGGCAGUCAGAGGCGAUGAAGGGCGUGCUAAUCUGCGAUAAGCGCCGGUAAGGUGAUAUGAACCGUUAUAACCGGCGAUACCCGAAUGGGGAAACCCAGUGUGAUUCGUCACACUAUCAUUAACUGAAUCCAUAGGUUAAUGAGGCGAACCGGGGAACUGAAACAUCUAAGUACCCCGAGGAAAAGAAAUCAACCGAGAUUCCCCAGUAGCGGCGAGCGAACGGGAGGAGCCCAGAGCCUGAAUCAGCAUGUGUGUUAGUGGAAGCGUCUGGAAAGGCGCGCGAUACAGGGUGACAGCCCCGUACACAAAAGCGCAUGUGCUGUGAGCUCGAUGAGUAGGGCGGGACACGUGGUAUCCUGUCUGAAUAUGGGGGACCAUCCUCCAAGGCUAAAUACUCCUGACUGACCGAUAGUGAACCAGUACCGUGAGGGAAAGGCGAAAAGAACCCCGGCGAGGGGAGUGAAAAAGAACCUGAAACCGUGUACGUACAAGCAGUGGGAGCACAGGUUUACCUGUGUGACUGCGUACCUUUUGUAUAAUGGGUCAGCGACUUAUAUUCUGUAGCAAGGUUAACCGUAUAGGGGAGCCGCAGGGAAACCGAGUCUUAAUUGGGCGUUAAGUUGCAGGGUAUAGACCCGAAACCCGGUGAUCUAGCCAUGGGCAGGUUGAAGGUUGGGUAACACUAACUGGAGGACCGAACCGACUAAUGUUGAAAAAUUAGCGGAUGACCUGUGGCUGGGGUGAAAGGCCAAUCAAACCGGGAGAUAGCUGGUUCUCCCCGAAAGCUAUUUAGGUAGCGCCUCGUGAAUUCAUCUCCGGGGUAGAGCACUGUUUCGGCUAGGGGCCAUCCCGGCUUACCAACCCGAUGCAAACUGCGAAUACCGGAGAAUGUUAUCACGGGAGACACACGGCGGGUGCUAACGUCCGUCGUGAAGAGGGAAACAACCCAGACCGCCAGCUAAGGUCCCAAAGUCAUGGUUAAGUGGGAAACGAUGUGGGAAGGCCCAGACAGCCAGGAUGUUGGCUUAGAAGCAGCCAUCAUUUAAAGAAAGCGUAAUAGCUCACUGGUCGAGUCGGCCUGCGCGGAAGAUGUAACGGGGCUAAACCAUGCACCGAAGCUGCGGCAGCGACACUGUGUGUUGUUGGGUAGGGAGCGUUCUGUAAGCCUGCGAAGGUGGCCUGUGAGGGUUGCUGGAGGUAUCAGAAGUGCGAAUGCUGACAUAAGUAACGAUAAAGCGGGUGAAAAGCCCGCUCGCCGGAAGACCAAGGGUUCCUGUCCAACGUUAAUCGGGGCAGGGUGAGUCGACCCCUAAGGCGAGGCCGAAAGGCGUAGUCGAUGGGAAACGGGUUAAUAUUCCCGUACUUGGUGUUACUGCGAAGGGGGGACGGAGAAGGCUAUGUUGGCCGGGCGACGGUUGUCCCGGUUUAAGCGUGUAGGUGUGUGUUCCGGUAAAUCCGGUUCACUUUAACACUGAGGCGUGACGACGAGGCACUACGGUGCUGAAGCAACAAAUGCCCUGCUUCCGGAAAAGCCUCUAAGCAUCAGGUAACAUCAAAUCGUACCCCAAACCGACACAGGUGGUCAGGUAGAGAAUACCAAGGCGCUUGAGAGAACUCGGGUGAAGGAACUAGGCAAAAUGGUGCCGUAACUUCGGGAGAAGGCACGCUGACACGUAGGUGAAGUGAUUUACUCAUGGAGCUGAAGUCAGUCGAAGAUACCAGCUGGCUGCAACUGUUUAUUAAAAACACAGCACUGUGCAAACACGAAAGUGGACGUAUACGGUGUGACGCCUGCCCGGUGCCGGAAGGUUAAUUGAUGGGGUCAGCGCAAGCGAAGCUCCUGAUCGAAGCCCCGGUAAACGGCGGCCGUAACUAUAACGGUCCUAAGGUAGCGAAAUUCCUUGUCGGGUAAGUUCCGACCUGCACGAAUGGCGUAAUGAUGGCGGCUGUCUCCACCCGAGACUCAGUGAAAUUGAACUCGCUGUGAAGAUGCAGUGUACCCGCGGCAAGACGGAAAGACCCCGUGAACCUUUACUAUAGCUUGACACUGAACAUUGAGCCUUGAUGUGUAGGAUAGGUGGGAGGCUUUGAAGCGUGGACGCCAGUCUGCGUGGAGCCGACCUUGAAAUACCACCCUUUAAUGUUUGAUGUUCUAACGUGGACCCGUGAUCCGGGUUGCGGACAGUGUCUGGUGGGUAGUUUGACUGGGGCGGUCUCCUCCUAAAGAGUAACGGAGGAGCACGAAGGUUGGCUAAUCUGGUCGGACAUCAGGAGGUUAGUGCAAUGGCAUAAGCCAGCUUGACUGCGAGCGUGACGGCGCGAGCAGGUGCGAAAGCAGGUCAUAGUGAUCCGGUGGUUCUGAAUGGAAGGGCCAUCGCUCAACGGAUAAAAGGUACUCCGGGGAUAACAGGCUGAUACCGCCCAAGAGUUCAUAUCGACGGCGGUGUUUGGCACCUCGAUGUCGGCUCAUCACAUCCGGGCUGAAGUAGGUCCCAAGGGUAUGGCUGUUCGCCAUUUAAAGUGGUACGCGAGCUGGGUUUAGAACGUCGUGAGACAGUUCGGUCCCUAUCUGCCGUGGGCGCUGGAGAACUGAGGGGGGCUGCUCCUAGUACGAGAGGACCGGAGUGGACGCAUCACUGGUGUUCGGGUUGUCAUGCCAAUGGCACUGCCCGGUAGCUAAAUGCGGAAGAGAUAAGUGCUGAAAGCAUCUAAGCACGAAACUUGCCCCGAGAUGAGUUCUCCCUGAGACUUAAAGUCUCCUGAAGGAACGUUGAAGACGACGACGUUGAUAGGCCGGGUGUGUAAGCGCAGCGAUGCGUUGAGCUAACCGGUACUAAUGAACCGUGAGGCUUAACCUUACAACGCCGAAG